RNAcentral lists this ribosomal RNA (414 nucleotides) under uncultured Saccharopolyspora sp. RNAcentral describes it as "bacterial SSU rRNA". It matches the Rfam family "Bacterial small subunit ribosomal RNA", at positions 355 to 774 of the family's 1533-position model. The record is from RNAcentral. Lineage: Bacteria; Bacillati; Actinomycetota; Actinomycetes; Pseudonocardiales; Pseudonocardiaceae.
UGGGGAAUCUUGCGCAAUGGGCGAAAGCCUGACGCAGCAACGCCGCGUGGGGGAUGACGGCCUUCGGGUUGUAAACCUCUUUCGACAUCGACGAAGGCCCUUUUGGGGUUGACGGUAGGUGUAGAAGAAGCACCGGCUAACUACGUGCCAGCAGCCGCGGUAAUACGUAGGGUGCGAGCGUUGUCCGGAUUUAUUGGGCGUAAAGAGCUCGUAGGCGGUUUGUCGCGUCUAUCGUGAAAACCGGGAGCUUAACUCCUGGCUUGCGGUGGAUACGGGCAGACUUGAGUUCGGCAGGGGAGACUGGAAUUCCUGGUGUAGCGGUGAAAUGCGCAGAUAUCAGGAGGAACACCGGUGGCGAAGGCGGGUCUCUGGGCCGAUACUGACGCUGAGGAGCGAAAGCGUGGGGAGCGAACA